GAUGAACGCUAGCGGCAGGCUUAAUACAUGCAAGUCGUGGGGCAGCAUGAGUAGCAAUACUUGAUGGCGACCGGCAAACGGGUGAGGAACACGUACACAACCUUCCUUCAAGCGGGGAAUAGCCCAGAGAAAUUUGGAUUAAUACCCCAUAAUAUAUUUGAUAAGGCAUCUUAUUAAUAUUAAAGCUUCGGCACUUGAUGAUGGGUGUGCGGCUGAUUAGAUAGUUGGUGAGGUAACGGCCCACCAAGGCGACGAUUGGUAGCCGGACUGAGAGGUUGAACGGCCACAUUGGGACUGAGACACGGCCCAGACUCCUACGGGAGGCAGCAGUGGGGGAUAUUGCACAAUGGGGGAAACCCUGAUGCAGCGACGCCGCGUGGAGGAAGAAGGUUUUUCGGAUUGGUAAACUCCUGUCGUUAGGGACGAUAAUGACGGUACCUAACAGAAAGCACCGGCUAACUACGUGCCAGCAGCCGCGGUAAUGUACAGUGU
RNAcentral lists this ribosomal RNA (492 nucleotides) under uncultured bacterium. RNAcentral's name for it is "bacterial SSU rRNA". It matches the Rfam family "Bacterial small subunit ribosomal RNA", at positions 28 to 533 of the family's 1533-position model. The record is from RNAcentral.